GAUGAACGCUGGCGGCGUGCCUAAUACAUGCAAGUCGAGCGAACAGAUGAGGAGCUUGCUCCUCUGACGUUAGCGGCGGACGGGUGAGUAACACGUGGAUAACCUACCUAUAAGACUGGGAUAACUUCGGGAAACCGGAGCUAAUACCGGAUAAUAUAUUGAACCGCAUGGUUCAAUAGUGAAAGACGGUUUUGCUGUCACUUAUAGAUGGAUCCGCGCCGCAUUAGCUAGUUGGUAAGGUAACGGCUUACCAAGGCAACGAUGCGUAGCCGACCUGAGAGGGUGAUCGGCCACACUGGAACUGAGACACGGUCCAGACUCCUACGGGAGGCAGCAGUAGGGAAUCUUCCGCAAAGGGCGAAAGCCUGACGGAGCAACGCCGCGUGAGUGAUGAAGGUCUUCGGAUCGUAAAACUCUGUUAUUUGGGAAGAACAAAUGUGUAAGUAACUAUGCACGUCUUGACGGUACCUAAUCAGAAAGCCACGGCUAACUACGUG
Molecule: ribosomal RNA, 497 nt
Filed under: uncultured bacterium
Lineage: Bacteria
Description: partial 16S ribosomal RNA
Rfam family: Bacterial small subunit ribosomal RNA
Source: RNAcentral